GACGAACGCUGGCGGCGUGCCUAAUACAUGCAAGUAGAACGCUGAAGGAGGAGCUUGCUUCUCUGGAUGAGUUGCGAACGGGUGAGUAACGCGUAGGUAACCUGCCUGGUAGCGGGGGAUAACUAUUGGAAACGAUAGCUAAUACCGCAUAAUAGUAGAUGUUGCAUGACAUUUGCUUAAAAGGUGCAAUUGCAUCACUACCAGAUGGACCUGCGUUGUAUUAGCUAGUUGGUGAGGUAACGGCUCACCAAGGCAACGAUACAUAGCCGACCUGAGAGGGUGAUCGGCCACACUGGGACUGAGACACGGCCCAGACUCCUACGGGAGGCAGCAGUAGGGAAUCUUCGGCAAUGGACGGAAGUCUGACCGAGCAACGCCGCGUGAGUGAAGAAGGUUUUCGGAUCGUAAAGCUCUGUUGUAAGAGAAGAACGAGUGUGAGAGUGGAAAGUUCACACUGUGACGGUAUCUUACCAAAAGGGACGGCUAACUACGUG
RNAcentral lists this ribosomal RNA (494 nucleotides) under uncultured bacterium. RNAcentral describes it as "partial 16S ribosomal RNA". It matches the Rfam family "Bacterial small subunit ribosomal RNA", at positions 28 to 507 of the family's 1533-position model. The record is from RNAcentral.